GGUUAAGCGACUAAGCGUACACGGUGGAUGCCCUGGCAGUCAGAGGCGAUGAAGGACGUGCUAAUCUGCGAUAAGCGCCGGUAAGGUGAUAUGAACCGUUAUAACCGGCGAUUUCCGAAUGGGGAAACCCAGUGUGACUCGUCACACUAUCAUUAACUGAAUCCAUAGGUUAAUGAGGCGAACCGGGGGAACUGAAACAUCUAAGUACCCCGAGGAAAAGAAAUCAACCGAGAUUCCCCCAGUAGCGGCGAGCGAACGGGGAGGAGCCCAGAGCCUGAAUCAGCAUGUGUGUUAGUGGAAGCGUCUGGAAAGGCGCGCGAUACAGGGUGACAGCCCCGUACACAAAAGCGCAUGUGCUGUGAGCUCGAUGAGUAGGGCGGGACACGUGGUAUCCUGUCUGAAUAUGGGGGGACCAUCCUCCAAGGCUAAAUACUCCUGACUGACCGAUAGUGAACCAGUACCGUGAGGGAAAGGCGAAAAGAACCCCGGCGAGGGGAGUGAAAAAGAACCUGAAACCGUGUACGUACAAGCAGUGGGAGCACAGGUUUACCUGUGUGACUGCGUACCUUUUGUAUAAUGGGUCAGCGACUUAUAUUCUGUAGCAAGGUUAACCGAAUAGGGGAGCCGGAGGGAAACCGAGUCUUAAUUGGGCGUUAAGUUGCAGGGUAUAGACCCGAAACCCGGUGAUCUAGCCAUGGGCAGGUUGAAGGUUGGGUAACACUAACUGGAGGACCGAACCGACUAAUGUUGAAAAAUUAGCGGAUGACCUGUGGCUGGGGGUGAAAGGCCAAUCAAACCGGGAGAUAGCUGGUUCUCCCCGAAAGCUAUUUAGGUAGCGCCUCGUGAAUUCAUCUCCGGGGGUAGAGCACUGUUUCGGCUAGGGGGCCAUCCCGGCUUACCAACCCGAUGCAAACUGCGAAUACCGGAGAAUGUUAUCACGGGAGACACACGGCGGGUGCUAACGUCCGUCGUGAAGAGGGAAACAACCCAGACCGCCAGCUAAGGUCCCAAAGUCAUGGUUAAGUGGGAAACGAUGUGGGAAGGCCCAGACAGCCAGGAUGUUGGCUUAGAAGCAGCCAUCAUUUAAAGAAAGCGUAAUAGCUCACUGGUCGAGUCGGCCUGCGCGGAAGAUGUAACGGGGCUAAACCAUGCACCGAAGCUGCGGCAGCGACACUGUGUGUUGUUGGGUAGGGGAGCGUUCUGUAAGCCUGCGAAGGUGGCCUGUGAGGGUUGCUGGAGGUAUCAGAAGUGCGAAUGCUGACAUAAGUAACGAUAAAGCGGGUGAAAAGCCCGCUCGCCGGAAGACCAAGGGUUCCUGUCCAACGUUAAUCGGGGCAGGGUGAGUCGACCCCUAAGGCGAGGCCGAAAGGCGUAGUCGAUGGGAAACGGGUUAAUAUUCCCGUACUUGGUGUUACUGCGAAGGGGGGACGGAGAAGGCUAUGUUGGCCGGGCGACGGUUGUCCCGGUUUAAGCGUGUAGGUGUGUGUUCCAGGUAAAUCCGGUUCACUUUAACACUGAGGCGUGACGACGAGGCACUACGGUGCUGAAGCAACAAAUGCCCUGCUUCCAGGAAAAGCCUCUAAGCAUCAGGUAACAUCAAAUCGUACCCCAAACCGACACAGGUGGUCAGGUAGAGAAUACCAAGGCGCUUGAGAGAACUCGGGUGAAGGAACUAGGCAAAAUGGUGCCGUAACUUCGGGAGAAGGCACGCUGACAUGUAGGUGAAGUGAUUUACUCAUGGAGCUGAAGUCAGUCGAAGAUACCAGCUGGCUGCAACUGUUUAUUAAAAACACAGCACUGUGCAAACACGAAAGUGGACGUAUACGGUGUGACGCCUGCCCGGUGCCGGAAGGUUAAUUGAUGGGGUCAGCGCAAGCGAAGCUCCUGAUCGAAGCCCCGGUAAACGGCGGCCGUAACUAUAACGGUCCUAAGGUAGCGAAAUUCCUUGUCGGGUAAGUUCCGACCUGCACGAAUGGCGUAAUGAUGGCCAGGCUGUCUCCACCCGAGACUCAGUGAAAUUGAACUCGCUGUGAAGAUGCAGUGUACCCGCGGCAAGACGGAAAGACCCCGUGAACCUUUACUAUAGCUUGACACUGAACAUUGAGCCUUGAUGUGUAGGAUAGGUGGGAGGCUUUGAAGCGUGGACGCCAGUCUGCGUGGAGCCGACCUUGAAAUACCACCCUUUAAUGUUUGAUGUUCUAACGUGGACCCGUGAUCCGGGUUGCGGACAGUGUCUGGUGGGUAGUUUGACUGGGGCGGUCUCCUCCUAAAGAGUAACGGAGGAGCACGAAGGUUGGCUAAUCCUGGUCGGACAUCAGGAGGUUAGUGCAAUGGCAUAAGCCAGCUUGACUGCGAGCGUGACGGCGCGAGCAGGUGCGAAAGCAGGUCAUAGUGAUCCGGUGGUUCUGAAUGGAAGGGCCAUCGCUCAACGGAUAAAAGGUACUCCGGGGAUAACAGGCUGAUACCGCCCAAGAGUUCAUAUCGACGGCGGUGUUUGGCACCUCGAUGUCGGCUCAUCACAUCCUGGGGCUGAAGUAGGUCCCAAGGGUAUGGCUGUUCGCCAUUUAAAGUGGUACGCGAGCUGGGUUUAGAACGUCGUGAGACAGUUCGGUCCCUAUCUGCCGUGGGCGCUGGAGAACUGAGGGGGGCUGCUCCUAGUACGAGAGGACCGGAGUGGACGCAUCACUGGUGUUCGGGUUGUCAUGCCAAUGGCACUGCCCGGUAGCUAAAUGCGGAAGAGAUAAGUGCUGAAAGCAUCUAAGCACGAAACUUGCCCCGAGAUGAGUUCUCCCUGAGACUUAAAGUCUCCUGAAGGAACGUUGAAGACGACGACGUUGAUAGGCCGGGUGUGUAAGCGCAGCGAUGCGUUGAGCUAACCGGUACUAAUGAACCGUGAGGCUUAACCUU
Molecule: ribosomal RNA, 2907 nt
Filed under: Salmonella enterica subsp. enterica serovar Indiana
Lineage: Bacteria; Pseudomonadati; Pseudomonadota; Gammaproteobacteria; Enterobacterales; Enterobacteriaceae
Description: 23S ribosomal RNA
Rfam family: Bacterial large subunit ribosomal RNA
Source: RNAcentral